This 354-nucleotide unclassified non-coding RNA is filed under the name soil metagenome. Its description in RNAcentral is "partial contains 5.8S ribosomal RNA, internal transcribed spacer 2, and large subunit ribosomal RNA". The stretch from base 1 to 120 matches the Rfam family "5.8S ribosomal RNA", at positions 35 to 154 of the family's 154-position model. The record is from RNAcentral.
GAUGAAGAACGUAGCGAAAUGCGAUAAGUAAUGUGAAUUGCAGAAUUCAGUGAAUCAUCGAAUCUUUGAACGCACAUUGCGCCCGCCAGUAUUCUGGCGGGCAUGCCUGUCCGAGCGUCAUUUCAACCCUCGAACCCCUCCGGGGGGUCGGCGUUGGGGAUCGGCCCUCCCUUAGCGGGUGGCCGUCUCCGAAAUACAGUGGCGGUCUCGCCGCAGCCUCUCCUGCGCAGUAGUUUCCACACUCGCAUCGGGAGCGCGGCGCGUCCACAGCCGUUAAACACCCAACUUCUGAAAUGUUGACCUCGGAUCAGGUAGGAAUACCCGCUGAACUUAAGCAUAUCAAUAAGCGGAGGA